GCGUUAUCCGGAUUUACUGGGCGUAAAGGGUGCGUAGGUGGUUUCUUAAGUCAGGAGUGAAAGGCUACGGCUCAACCGUAGUAAGCUCUUGAAACUGGGAGACUUGAGUGCAGGAGAGGAAAGUGGAAUUCCUAGUGUAGCGGUGAAAUGCGUAGAUAUUAGGAGGAACACCAGUAGCGAAGGCGGCUUUCUGGACUGUAACUGACGCUGAGUCACGAAAGCGUGGGUAGC
RNAcentral lists this ribosomal RNA (231 nucleotides) under uncultured bacterium. RNAcentral describes it as "partial 16S ribosomal RNA". It matches the Rfam family "Bacterial small subunit ribosomal RNA", at positions 538 to 769 of the family's 1533-position model. The record is from RNAcentral.